Clupea harengus (Atlantic herring) is the source of this 5665-nucleotide long non-coding RNA. The record is from Ensembl. NCBI's taxonomy places the organism in Eukaryota, Metazoa, Chordata, Actinopteri, Clupeiformes, Clupeidae.
UUUCUUUCUUUCUGUCCUCCCCUCUUUUAUCUUCCCCUCUCUCCUACUUUCACCUCUCUCGCUCGGCAGGAGCAACAGCCGAUGUCAAAGGUCGCUUGGCCUCGCUGACCACAACAAGCAAGUUAAUCUACCCCGGCGCGGACUCCAGCUUGUCCAAGAAAACACUCUAGUCCUUUUUUCCCCCCUCUCUCUCUCUCUCUCUCUCUCUCCCUCUCUAACUACGUGUCUCCCUCUCUCCCUCUCCCCCUCUCCCUCUCCUCUCUCCUCAGCGCUUUAAUUGCUUUGCGGAGUGUCAUAGCCGGGAAGCAGGGGGAGAGGUGCUGCACACACUUGCACCGGCUGCACCCAGCCAAAAGGCAGCACGUUCACUGGGCUCAGUGUAAACACGGGAUUAGAGCGAGACACGGAGCGCCCAGACCUUCCUGCCCUCUUUUUCCCUCGUUAGGACUUCUUCACACAACUUUGACUCCAUCACGUGAAACAAGAGGACACUGACACAGAGCUGGAGGAAGGGGAAAAAAAAGAGGAAAAAAAAAAAAACCCAGACAGGACCCUGAAAGAAGCUAUCACUGGCCGUCGGAGAGUAGCAGGUUAGUCAAAAUGUUAGCAAAAGGAGGCGAGCGGAAAUGAACGACGCAAAGAAAGUGUGUUUUGUUGUUUGCUUUUUGUAAUGAGGACGACAGCCGCGGUGAGGAUAAAGUCACUUGGUGUCUGGGUUUCUGUCGAAAGUUGUAAACAAAUGCAGCGGCACACAAGCACAAGCAGCAGUGUGGACAGACAUCACGUCAGGGCUUAUCUAACAACGCUGGGCUGAAUGGACACUGAGGAAUACUGAUGAAAAAACAAAGAACAAAAGUGACAAGAGCGACAGAGGGGCCACUCACCCCAGCACAGUGACACGACUCAAACAAAAACAACACACUCAUUAAAAAGCUGCUGAAUAUCAAUGUGAAGAAUGGGAGCUUAAAAGAAGAAAAAAACAUACACAUACAAACACACACACACACACACACACACACACACACACACACACACGCAGACACACCAACUCAUAAAGAUUUUUGUGUUCGGCUUUUGUGUUCAGUAAAAAUCUACUGGGAGUAAAGUUUUUUUUUUGUUUAAAAUACCCAAAAAAGGGGGAAGGAAGAACGAAGGAAGGAGAAAAAAAAGCCUUUGGUCAGUGCCAACUUACCAUCCACCAUGUCCUGGCUGAGAUGUCGUAGCAAAGCUGCCAUUUGAUGGAGCCCUCCGUGGUUUUGCUUGCCAUUAUGCUGUCAGCGAGCUUCAUCUGAUGCUAGUGCACUCACCGGAGAUAAGACACCUAAUUGAGAAAACAUUUGCACUGGCAUGUUGGGCAACAUGUAGCCCGCUCCAUACCAUAUGGAAUCAUGGGUAAAAAAAAAAAAAAAGCCUUGACAAUGAACCAAUCUGGAGCAGCCCCUGUGGCAAGAUCGUUCUGGACAGAGAUGGAGGCUGGAGACAACGCUCAGGAUGAGAAAGACCCCAUCAUGGCAUCAUAAUCAAGCACAUCUAAACUCUAUUUUCUCUUCAUAGUUUCAGUCCCAGUAAGUCGUAAAAUACUUUUUUUUUUGCCUCUAAGUGGAAUACGGGAAGAGGGUUUUAAGGUGACAAGUGCAUGAAAAGUUUUAUGCAGAAAUUCUGUCUUAAUUCUUUUUUUAGUAUUUAUCUUUCAAAAAAUAAAUUCAUUUAAAAAAUUACAAUUUACUCCACUAAUUUUAGAGAGGUCCAAGCUCUCUGUGAAUUGUACUGAACAGCCAUGCAGAAAGUGAGUAGAUGAGAUACUAAUACUCAAUACUGAGUGAGUUUUAGUCAAGUAUCUCUCCCAUCAUUUCAAAUGAUAAUUUAGCAGUAGGUGUGAUAUGACCACUGUGAGAGAUUUACAAGUAAAUCAGCUAAAGUAAAAGGAAGAAUGAACACACACUCUUCCUCCUCCUCCUCUCCCUCUCCCUCUCCAUGGUUGGGUUUGCUCCGAGACGGAAUACCUGAGCAGUCAGGGGAGAGCUGCUGUGACCAUCAAACAGUCCCCCCUUUGUCGACGUUACUCAGGAAUUUGAUUCGGUAUCCAGAUAUCCAAAAGGUAGGAGGAGAGAGAGAGGGAGCGAGGGAACAGGUAUGGCCGGUAUGACAUCUACACUAAAUCCAAAUGCAAAGACGGACAUCCAUGCUCCAGUUGACCCAGUUUUAUUUCUCCGCUAAUUUAGCCUGGUCCAGUCGCUUGUUGUGCAGGUUUUUAAAAAGUUUCAUGCUUCAUCUUAAGAGAUCAUUAUAAAGGCUACAAUUUGAAACAAAGUCAAACUAUAUUAAAAGAGUUGUUUACACCCAGAUUGAUUUGGUGUAUUUACAGUGCUUUAUAGAUCACAGAAUAUGAUAGACAAUAAAGUUGAGAGAAAUAAAUGUUUUUUUUUAAUUAUUUGUAAAUUAUACUUUUGGGCUUUUAAAAAAAACUUUCAAAAUAUUGGACAGUGACAAUAAUUGUAUUCAAUAUCACUUAAGUGGCAUUCAUUUAAUAUUUUUCCAUAGCAGUAAUGCCAUUUAACUUAUGUUGCAAAAUAUAUUUCAAACCCAAAUUAAUAUUAAAUUAUCAAAUUAUUAUUAAAUUAUUUUCUCGUUCUUUCUUUUCCGUUCCCUUCUCUUCCAGUCAGAAUCUACUGGUCCAUUUGACAGGUAUCCUUUAACCAAAUUCAUCUACUGGUCCAUUUGACAGGAUUCCUUUAACCAAAUUCAUCUACUGGUCCGUUUGACAGGAUUCCUUUAACCAAAUUCAUCUACUGGUCCAUUUGACAGGUUUCCUUUAACCAAAUGUAAAACCUCCAAACACUGAUGGCAAAAUUGACAAAUUCAUAUAAUGUCAGGAAACUUUUAAAAUGGCUAAAAUGAGCAAGCUUGACAAGCAAACUCCUAUGUCCGUAUUUGGUGGUGUCAGACCGUGUACUGCCCGUCUCCUGCGGGGGGAAGAGUCGUGGUUGGACACCUGAGAUGGAGGGGAAGACUACCACACCACGGUGAAAAUGAUUGCGGGACGCAGAUCUUUGGAACACAGUUCACAUGAACAUUGUGUAGUUGUACUUAGCAGAGCUGCUGUAGGAGGUCGUAGGGGUGCCGUUUACUGUACACACACCUCACGGGUCAGUGGAGGCCAGACUAACCUCUGCCACACGGACACAUGCUAACACACACACUCUUAACAGCACCGCUCUUUCUCUGUCUUUCACUCGGCAAAAAUGAGAAAAGCAGAGAGGUCAAGUACAGACAGUAAAAAUACUUACGAAUUCUGGGUUCUGUAUUUUAGAGUUGGUAGUUUGCUUUGUCUGAGAAUACUGAUUAAGGGUAUGACACAGAUUUAAAUUUUAAAUGGUAAGUUAACAAGCAAAGAAUUUUAACUUGUAUUACUCUCAACAUCUAAUGAAUGAAAAUGUGUUUUUUUUUCUAUAUGUAUUUGCAGGUUUGAUUUACUUAAAUGAAGGGAGCCUGCUUGCCUGACAGUCAACUGAAUUUUAAUUCCACUGUACCUUUUCUUGGAGUGUCCAGUAGAAGGCAGUGUUGCAUCGAUUUCAGGUUUUCCCCCAUUUCCUUCUCCUCACCUGAGGUUGUCAGAUGUCACUGUUUAGGAGUGUAGAAAGACAGGUACAUUACAUAGCUUCAACAGAAUGCAGCCUUUACAGAACAAACCUUGUCCCUUGGAUCUUUCUGGAAUUUUUUUUGACAUUCUAUGCGUUAUGGCAAUAUCUGAAUCCAUGGGAUAGCUAUCAUUGACCCCUCUUUGUCCCUUGCUCGCAAAACAAUCCAAGAUAAAUGCUACAAGAGAGGUAGUGUCCUGAAAAAAGACCAAAAAAAACAAUGAAUUCAGACAGAAAAUAUUAUUGCCAUUUGUGAUGAUAAUGAUUGUGAAAUCAUCAGUUCAAUCAGAUUAAUGUAGUGGUGGGUAGAUCAAGUCAGUGAACUGAAUAUCAAAGGAUGAUCAAUAUUUGGAAUCAUAUUUGAAGCGGGCAAUCACAUGGAAACUUUAAAAUGAAAUUAUUUUCAUUGUUCUUAUUUAAUGUUAUUUUCAUUGUUCUUAUUUAAGUCUACAAAUGAAACAGCAAAAGAAUGAAACACUAUUCCACUCUAUUCCAAGCUUUUUCUGUUUUCCCUUGGCUAAUGAGUGUCAGCAAGGCUGAAUUCUCGAGGCGCGCACCUCGUUUGUGAAACUCUGUCACUUCAUGCGCUUCUGCUUCCCGCUUCCCGGUGUCUCUCAGCGGGGACCACAGGGGCUGGCAAACACACACACUCACACAUUUUUUCAAUUCCUGCAGCAAUCCAAUAACUCACCAAAAUGUGUGGAGUCACUGGAAUCGCUUCCCUUUUGCUAACCAUAAUUCAGAAUACUGAAAAAAAACAUGAUUGUGGACAUCUGGUUCCUUUUCUGGCUUCAGUGAAACAGCUCUAGCCCUGGCAGAGAGCCCCGGUGCCACCCUCCAUGGCUCCGGCUGACAGAUGCAGAUCACAUCCACCACUAAAGAGGAGGGCCACUUCAGAGAACAAGAGAAUACAUUUACACACCACCAGUUUGACAAAAAGAGAUAUGUGAGGAUGAUGAUGGUGAUGAUGAUGAUAAUGAUAUGUUCUUGAUGUGAUGAAUAGAAUGCAAUGAUGCAAGGUAAAAGCAGACAUGGAAACAAUAUAUAGCCAUCCCCAAAACAGAUUUUUUGUUUUGUUCUGGGUUAUCUAACACCUGAAAAAACAACGUGUUUUUACAAUGGUUUAACUACAGACUACAGACUUUGGAUUUUGAUGUGUCCAUGCACGUUGUGGCAAACUGCGCUAAAAAAUAUCAGCAAAUAUCUGCAUCUGAUUUGGACCACUAACAUCAAAUCUGUAAAGCAAAACACUUUGAUUUACAAGUGAAAUUGCAUUCUGUGGUGUUUGGGUGUUCAGACAUUCUCCAACUGCAUACCUUCAUCUCACUGAGGUCUUCAGCUGGAAACUUCUUCCUGCUUUCCUGGCUAUCAAGUCCGAACGGACUUGCAGAACAUAAAAGGUACCAGGGGAAGCACGACACUCACGAACGCACAAAGUCAGGAAGUCCUCUACUAAACAAGGGUGUUUGUAUUCAUGCCUUUCUCCCUCUCUGAUUGUUGACAGAUGCUUUUACGUUCCAGGUUGUUAAACGGCAGAGGAGGGGAAGGCAUGGCACAAAACAAAUAUUUUUUCCUCAAUUGUAGUCAUGUUAGCAUACAUAUUAUAUUCAGCAUAGCGUAAACACUUCCUUUGAAGUCCCUGUGCUUUGGCCACAAAGUGGUCAUGGAGAUAUCAAAGCUUUCAGGGGGGAAGUCAUAGGACUGAGCAUGUUGGUUGACCGACCAUGCACCGACGGAGAGAGGACUGACGGGAACCAGAGUGUGAUGCAGUGGCCUUGGUCUCCCGCUCUCCCCUCCUCUUGAAAAUGAGCCUGAUCUGUUGUUGACUUUCCAUUUGACUGCAGUCUCUGGUCAAACGAGUUACAGAGCUGAGACACUAAUAGGGACCUGAUGCGCAAGUGUUCCACCGAUUAGAACCACACUGCAGCCGGUGCCAGGCCAGGCCAGGCCAGGCCUCCACUCUCCUGGGCACGAAAGCCAGCCGUACGCCUCCACUCUCCUGGGCACGAAAGCCAGCCGUACGCCUC